This 561-nucleotide ribosomal RNA is filed under the name uncultured bacterium. RNAcentral's name for it is "bacterial SSU rRNA". It matches the Rfam family "Bacterial small subunit ribosomal RNA", at positions 338 to 916 of the family's 1533-position model. The record is from RNAcentral.
CCUACGGGAGGCAGCAGUGGGGAAUAUUGGACAAUGGGCGAAAGCCUGAUCCAGCAAUGCCGCGUGAGUGAUGAAGGCCUUAGGGUUGUAAAGCUCUUUUACCAGGGAUGAUAAUGACAGUACCUGGAGAAUAAGCUCCGGCUAACUCCGUGCCAGCAGCCGCGGUAAUACGGAGGGAGCUAGCGUUGUUCGGAAUUACUGGGCGUAAAGCGUGCGUAGGCGGCGAUUCAAGUCAGAGGUGAAAGCCUGGAGCUCAACUCCAGAACUGCCUUUGAAACUAGAUUGCUAGAAUCUUGGAGAGGUCAGUGGAAUUCCGAGUGUAGAGGUGAAAUUCGUAGAUAUUCGGAAGAACACCAGUGGCGAAGGCGACUGACUGGACAAGUAUUGACGCUGAGGUACGAAAGCGUGGGGAGCAAACAGGAUUAGAUACCCUGGUAGUCCACGCUGUAAACGAUGAUAACUAGCUGUCCGGGCUCUCAGAGCUUGGGUGGCGCAGCUAACGCAUUAAGUUAUCCGCCUGGGGAGUACGGUCGCAAGAUUAAAACUCAAAGGAAUUGACGG